This is a long non-coding RNA of Pezoporus occidentalis (night parrot), 321 nucleotides long. RefSeq lists it as uncharacterized. The transcript is spliced from 3 exons. Lineage: Eukaryota; Metazoa; Chordata; Aves; Psittaciformes; Psittacidae. The record is from RefSeq and is a predicted model, not a curated record.
CUGAAUUUUCCAUUAUUGUUUUACAGGGUUGAAUCUGAUGUUUGUGAUGCUCAGCCCAAAUGCCUUGACUCCCCUCCCACGUUAACUUUUUGAAGAAAGGAGAUAAGUGCUACUACUUUCCAGUUCUGCUACUCUUAAAUUAGAUUUUGCCAAUUGUUCAAUACAGCAGUACCUCUGCAACAGGGCUGUAGAAAGCAAUUCCUGUUGGCUACAUCAAAGUGUAGUGGCAGAUUUCCCUUUGGAAGUGAGAGCCUGUUUCAAACGUCUCUUCAAGUCCUGCAUAUUUGGUGACUUGGGUCGCACAAGGUGGAGGCCUCUUCG